AUUUCUUUAAUUCUAUCCCCUUCUAUCCAAAAUCCUAAAAUAAGUGAAUUUAAUGCUAUAUUACAAAUUCACCAGACUAAACAGAUGUGGAUUAUCCCGGCGAGGGAUAAUUUUAAGAGUCGGUCUUAUUCAGUGAAUAUCUACAUCGUAUCUGGGCAGUCGUGGGCACUGGGCUUGAAAAUGACAAUAGUGAAAGUAUCAAUCAUUAAUAAUUAUCACUAAUAUUCAUUGUAACAAUAGGACGUACCUAUAUCAUGCAAUUUUUUGUUCAUUUUGUUAUCAUAAUACAAUAAAAUAACACGUGAUAACGUGCCGUCGCAUGAUAGUGGCGGAAACCGAAGCCUCCGUGAUGCACAGAUAUUAUAUAAAAUCAAUUUAUUUUAUAUACCGGAUGCCGAAAUGGCGUGCUGACCUGAGACGCUCGUAUAUUUAAGACGAGUCUCCAAUUUAGGUAAUCGAUGUGUGCGAUGCAACUCCUCGCAUGAUUAUCUAUGGAACACAAAAGAUACUGUGGAUAAUUAAUGUACGAGAAAUUGCGUUACGCGUGCGCAUAUCGCAAUAUCGCAUACAUAAUUCGGCGACUCGUCGCUGAUAUUGGCAACGUUUUUUUGUACUGAUAUACUACUUCGUGGCUUCCAUAGUGUAUUAAUAUGAUGUAAGUCAAAUACCAACAAUAAAAAUCAACAAAAUAAAAAACAAUUAUAUUUUGAGAUUUUUGUGACAGUACCAAAUACUAAGAAUGAUAUCGUAUAUACCUUGUAUAUGACAGCAUUUAACGCCCAAAUUAAAUUUCAAAAAUAUCUCAUCGCCAUUUGUCAGUCAAAAUAUUCUGAACUGUCACAGUGAAAAUAUAUUUGUCAACGGGUAGUCGUCACGGAUGACCAGAGCAAUGUUUAUGAUAUCGACUAGCUGUCGAUCGUUGUGUUGAACGUUGUUAAAAUCAAUGCUAUUAAUUCGGACGGUGUGUUAGCAACCAUGAAUAGACGCUGUGAAGUAGAAACAGAAAGAUAUGAUGGCAAAGAGAAACAGCUAUGUAAUUCCAGGACAAUCCCAACAGUAGAAAUCAAGGAAAUAACCUAUCGAGCAGCAUCAAUCAACAAAUGGCAAAAAGAAACAGCUGUAUAAUUCCAGGACAAUCCCGACAGCAAAAAUCAUGGAAAUAACAUUUCGAGCAGCUCCAAUCAAUAAGUACACAGUCAUGCUAGAAGGAAACCCUACAGUGGAAAACAGGAUUGUGGCAAUAAACAGAAUAUUAUUUUCUUUUUUUGAUAUAGAUCACGCCCAACGUUUUUAAAAUCUACAUAUUAUUUAAGAAUAUCAAACCAUGUAGCAAUAUCGUAGUAUACUCGGAGUCUCGAUAAAUAUCAGCACCACUGACAAUGUGGCCCAGCAACUACUGGCUCAGUAACAACUACAUCUGUAACAGAACAAACUGUAAAUUGUGAACUUUCCACACAAGCUUUGAUCAGUAAAAAUAAGUGAUCAAAAAAUUGUAUUAACAAUUAGUGGCUUGACUGUUUUUUAAUUAACAUUACUAACAUACAUAAUAUGAUCAGCUAUAAAAUUAACUAUAUGGACCUUUUUUAACACAAAUUAAUCAUAAACCGUUUUAGAUGGCAUAAAAGAAAUAGCUGUGUAAUUCCAGGUCAAUCCUAACAGCAGAAAUCAAGGAGCCAUACUACAAGGAAACAUAACACAGUGAAAAUAGGAUUGUGGCCUAACGUGUUUAAUACCUACAUAUUAUUGAAGAAUAUCAGACCAUAUAGCAAUAUUGUGGUAUACUUGGUGUAUUCCUGUGAACGCGGUCACAGGAUCACAAGAUCACAAGAUCAGUAGUUAAAAAAAUGAAAACCACUGAAUUAUGAAUCAAACUUGGGUGUCCAAUGACGUUUUUGAAUUGUGGCGACGCCGCCGAGGAGCCAAUACUACCAACUACCACAACCAUUUGCAGUAACCACUGACGCCGUCGUCACAGACUGUACUCCCCACCAUGUAACGGAUAGCAGCUCGUAACCCCGCACGACGCCCGACUGUUUGACGGCUAACGCUUUGUUCUGCCUUUUGUAUAUCGUCGACGUCGUCGAAUCGGUCGCCGGUCGGCCAUUUUAUAGUGAUCUGCUUUGCUACGUUGUUAGUUUGUUGACUCCUCAACUUUGUUAGGCGGGAUGGGAAGACAAAUCGCAGUAUACGAAUACCAGCCGCCAGCGUUCAUAUCUCUAUUAUGCGACUCGCUAGUGUAAAAAGAUGAGUGCUAUGACUAUCCAUCGAACAACAUCAACCAAGAACAUGUCAACGUCCAUACCAUGUUGAAUACAACAGUUCUCGUCCAAUCACCGAAAUUAAGCGAUCAUGCCAUCGUUUCCAUCAUUGGCAUCUAACAAGCAUCACAUAUGUCGAUAAUUCAUCCUCGAGACCGGUCAAUCACUACCCACCAAGUCUGCGUUAAGGUAUAUUCAUCUUCAUCUGAAUUAUAAUAGAAGCAUUGAAAAUGGCUGCCAUCAUUUGUUUUUUGUAUUCUGGAUAAGGAAAUUUCAAGUUGGUAAGUGUUAUAAAAAAAUUAUAGGUGUUUUCAAAAACAUCUGAUGUAAAUUAUAGCAUGCUUAUUAAAACAAUUGUAUAACAUUUGUAGGAUUUUAAAUAAAGGAAAUCUUAACUUUUUA
This is a long non-coding RNA of Aphis gossypii (cotton aphid), 2660 nucleotides long. RefSeq lists it as uncharacterized. The transcript has 8 exons. The record is from RefSeq and is a predicted model, not a curated record. NCBI's taxonomy places the organism in Eukaryota, Metazoa, Arthropoda, Insecta, Hemiptera, Aphididae.